GACGAACGCUGGCGGCGUGCUUAACACAUGCAAGUCGAACGGAAAGGCCCUGCUUUUGUGGGGUGCUCGAGUGGCGAACGGGUGAGUAACACGUGAGUAACCUGCCCUUGACUUUGGGAUAACUUCAGGAAACUGGGGCUAAUACCGGAUAGGAGCUCCUGCUGCAUGGUGGGGGUUGGAAAGUUUCGGCGGUUGGGGAUGGACUCGCGGCUUAUCAGCUUGUUGGUGGGGUAGUGGCUUACCAAGGCUUUGACGGGUAGCCGGCCUGAGAGGGUGACCGGCCACAUUGGGACUGUGGUACGGCCCAGCCUCCUCCGGGACGCAGCAGUGGGGAAUAUUGCACGAUGGGCGGAAGCCAGAUACAGCAACGCCGCGUGCGGGAUGACGGCCUUCGGGUUGUACACCGCUUUCGCCUGUGACGAAGCGUGAGUGACGGUAAUGGGUAAAGAAGCACCGGCUAACUACGUG
This 468-nucleotide ribosomal RNA is filed under the name uncultured bacterium. RNAcentral's name for it is "partial 16S ribosomal RNA". It matches the Rfam family "Bacterial small subunit ribosomal RNA", at positions 28 to 507 of the family's 1533-position model. The record is from RNAcentral.